UCCUACGGGUGGCUGCAGUCGAGAAUCUUUGUCAAUGGACGAAAGUCUGAACAAGCGACGCCGCGUGCGGGAUGAAGGCCUUCGGGUUGUAAACCGCUGUCGUAGGGGAACAAAUGUACGGGGGUUCUCCCCUGUAUUUGAGUGAUCCUAGGAGGAAGGAGAGGCUAAGCUCGUGCCAGCAGCCGCGGUAAGACGAGCUCUCCAAACGUUAUUCGGUAUCACUGGGCUUAAAGAGUUCGUAGGCGGCCUAGCAGGUCAGGUGUGAAAUCCCACAGCUCAACUGUGGAAUAGCGCUUGAAACCGCUGGGCUUGAGGGAGAUAGAGGUAGGCGGAACAGAUGGUGGAGCGGUGAAAUGCGUUGAUAUCAUCUGGAACACCGGUGGCGAAAGCGGCCUACUGGGUCUUUUCUGACGCUGAGGAACGAAAGCUAGGGUAGCGAACGGGAUUAGAUACCCUUGUAGUCC
This 464-nucleotide ribosomal RNA is filed under the name uncultured bacterium. RNAcentral describes it as "bacterial SSU rRNA". It matches the Rfam family "Bacterial small subunit ribosomal RNA", at positions 337 to 796 of the family's 1533-position model. The record is from RNAcentral.